RNAcentral lists this ribosomal RNA (253 nucleotides) under uncultured bacterium. RNAcentral's name for it is "partial 16S ribosomal RNA". It matches the Rfam family "Bacterial small subunit ribosomal RNA", at positions 524 to 776 of the family's 1533-position model. The record is from RNAcentral.
UACAGAGGUCCCAAGCGUUGUUCGGAUUCACUGGGCGUAAAGAGCGCGCAGGCGGUGUAUCAAGUCAGAUGUGAAAGAGGCCGGCUUAACCGGCAAGGGUCAUUUGAAACUGAUAGACUAGAGUGCAGCAGAGGAUAGUGGAAUUCACGGUGUAGUGGUGAAAUGCGUAGAUAUCGGGAGGAACACCAGUGGCGAAGGCGACUAUCUGGGCUGCAACUGACGCUGAGGCGCGAAGGCUAGGGUAGCAAACAGG